RNAcentral lists this small nucleolar RNA (55 nucleotides) under Neogale vison (American mink). RNAcentral describes it as "Neovison vison (American mink) Small nucleolar RNA SNORD56 (ENSNVIG00000008663.1)". It matches the Rfam family "Small nucleolar RNA SNORD56". Rfam says of the family: U56 belongs to the C/D class of snoRNA which contain the C (UGAUGA) and D (CUGA) box motifs. Most of the members of the box C/D family function in directing site-specific 2'-O-methylation of substrate RNAs. The record is from Rfam by way of RNAcentral. Lineage: Eukaryota; Metazoa; Chordata; Mammalia; Carnivora; Mustelidae.
CUACAGUGAUGGGAAUAGGUUCACUAAUGAGUGUUGAUACUUUGGGUCUGAGUUA